AAAUGAUGAUGAUUACUACUGAAUGAACCGGUUCCCUAAAACAUAGUGGAAUAGGCUGUCAAUGCCUGAAUGUGACUGAGAUGUGCACAUCUGGGAACAGAAGGAAAACUCUGCUGGCAACACAACAGUGAUCCGACCAGGCAGGAUAAUCAAUCCUUUCAUUACAUAUCCCACCUCCUGACCCCUGUUUAUCAUCCACGUUCCCCAACAGGCUUCUGUGCCAUCCACUUACUCCUUCUUUAAAAUUUUUCAUUUAGAAAUUACUCAUACAAGGAAGUAUUUUAAAAUAUGUGCAGUUUGAAGAAUAAAGAAACACCAGAGAAACCACCACCUCGCCUCAGAAAGAGCAGAAGCUCCUUGGAUAGGCCCCUCCUGCUGGCUCCCACCACCACCGCCAGUGUCCUUAAUCCUGUGGUAACCAUCUCCCCGUUUUUGUCUUCAUACCGUUGGGUCCUGUGUAUGUGCAUUCCUUAAAAACACGUUGCUCUGUGCUGCCGGUUUUUGAGCUUUACAGAAAUGGAGUCAUUCUCCAAGUAUUCUUUGAACCACAGAUAUAUAGAUCUGUCAGUGAACUCGUAUUCAGCACA
Molecule: long non-coding RNA, 587 nt
Organism: Lemur catta (Ring-tailed lemur)
Lineage: Eukaryota; Metazoa; Chordata; Mammalia; Primates; Lemuridae
Exons: 2
Source: RefSeq, a predicted model, not a curated record